RNAcentral lists this ribosomal RNA (82 nucleotides) under Streptomyces cavourensis. RNAcentral also lists the same sequence under 1 other name. Lineage: Bacteria; Bacillati; Actinomycetota; Actinomycetes; Kitasatosporales; Streptomycetaceae. The record is from RNAcentral.
UUCGGUGGUCAUUGCGUUAGGGAAACGCCCGGUUACAUUCCGAACCCGGAAGCUAAGCCUUUCAGCGCCGAUGGUACUGCAG